This 510-nucleotide ribosomal RNA is filed under the name uncultured bacterium. RNAcentral describes it as "bacterial SSU rRNA". It matches the Rfam family "Bacterial small subunit ribosomal RNA", at positions 15 to 518 of the family's 1533-position model. The record is from RNAcentral.
GAUUCUGGCUCAGGAUGAACGCUAGCGACAGGCUUAACACAUGCAAGUCGAGGGGCAGCAUAAAAGUAGCAAUACUUGGUGGCGACCGGCGCACGGGUGAGUAACGCGUAUGCAACCUACCUAUCAGAGGGGAAUAACCCGGCGAAAGUCGGACUAAUACCGCAUAAAACAGGGGCACCGCAUGGUGAUAUUUGUUAAAGAAAUUCGCUGAUAGAUGGGCAUGCGUUCCAUUAGGUAGUUGGUGAGGUAACGGCUCACCAAGCCGACGAUGGAUAGGGGAACUGAGAGGUUGGUCCCCCACACUGGUACUGAGACACGGACCAGACUCCUACGGGAGGCAGCAGUGAGGAAUAUUGGUCAAUGGGCGGGAGCCUGAACCAGCCAAGUCGCGUGAAGGAAGAAGGAUCUAUGGUUCGUAAACUUCUUUUGCAGGGGAAUAAAGUGCAGGACGUGUCCUGUUUUGUAUGUACCCUGAGAAUAAGGAUCGGCUAACUCCGUGCCAGCCGCAGC